Molecule: long non-coding RNA, 7865 nt
Organism: Bombus pyrosoma
Lineage: Eukaryota; Metazoa; Arthropoda; Insecta; Hymenoptera; Apidae
Exons: 3
Source: RefSeq, a predicted model, not a curated record
AAUGAAUAUGUUUUAAAUUAAAAAUAGCUUUAUGAUUUUGUCUAUAACUCAAAUUUUGCUUAUCUUAAUGCAGUAUAUGAUAUGACAUAAUAUAACCUCAAAUUUCGCUUGUGAUAUGUGAUGUACUUCAUGCAAACGCGUUUUAUACUACACUACAUAUAGUGAUUUGAUUUAUUUAACACGUUGAAUGCCACACCAGUUUUACAAGAGUUUGGUCGUGGCGGCAUGAUGAAUUUUUUAUUAUGCGAUACAUAUAAUGCUGAAAUAUUACCUACAAGAGAUAUGUUAUGAUGUAUAAUCAUCAUUAAUGAAUUUAUCUCACUCAGGCCACCGGUGUCCCCCAUGGCGCUGUAGUGCAAUUUCGCUCUCGAUUCACUUGUUUAUUGCGAUUAUUAAUUAUUUCAUAUUAUUUCUUCGCGUUGCCAAAGAAUUGUUCUAUGUUGUUACAUCCCGAAACCUACCAUAAACCAUAAUCCAUCGCUUGGUCAUAUUUAUUCGGACCCGGAAUAAUCCUAAAGAAGAAUAAUCCUAAUCGCAACAAGAUUUAGCAUUCUUUACUUGACUGACAAGGCUAUUAAUUGCCAUCAUACAUCCUUCAAGUCGAAAUUAUUAUAUAUUAUAAUGAGAAUAUUGUUCAGUAAAGUAAAAGCGGAUUUUCCCAUGUUCGACAGCCAUUGGUGGAGGACGCACAUAACAGAUCUCUAUUUCAUGUAUAAAUAAAACUAUCUUUAUAUGUUUUAUACUACAUUAAUUUCGUCACACCAUUGCGGUAACGAUGGUAAUUAUUAAUAUCGAUUAUUAAUUAUAAUUAUUAUAAUAAUCGAUUUGUUCGGGUUAUGUAUUUCUACUAAUCUUGGUGCGCCGGUCACCGGUGACCUCCACGGCGCCACGGCCAAGUUGAGUACCACUCACCGGCGAGAUAAGAAUAAGAAAACAAAACUCUCUACUUCCAUUUUCAUUAUUACUUUAAUCAUCUUCUUUUCAGAAGUUCCUGUCUGCAAUCACCGGACUUCGUAGUUUUUAACUAUGAAAUGCCUCAAAGACUCAGAGCAUAGCCUGUCGACGGUUAUAUCACAUGAGGUUCUAAGGAGCGAAUAGUUACCCGAUAUUCAACACAAUUAUUCAAUAACCAAUGACUAGUGAAAGGAAUGCAACAGCGUCAUUCAAUAAGAAGAAAGACAAUUCCAAGGUUAGUGAGAUGUCACGAGGAGCGUAAUGAAGACAACUGUAAAGGAGAUGGUAGAAGCGGCGAGUGGGUCGAUUGAUGAUUUAAAUCAUCAGGGGAGUUCGAUUGAAAGCUUGACUCUCUAAAGGGGAUCUUACAAAUCCCUGCAGCGAAGAACACCAUUCUACGUGCAAGAAUAUGAACAUUCGCACUGCAUGGACAAAUAUUUCGAAAUGCAGGAGAGACAGUGCUAGAUCUACGCGUAAAGGGUGUAGUUGACGUUAUAACACGAUGGUAGACAUCGAGAAACGUAAAUGUACAACAACCUGUUAACAUAUCGAUGUAAAAAGAAGUAAUCGUAGGAGCAUUAUGAAGCAUUGAUGGAAAACGAAAACAGUAAAAUAACUUCACUGAAUCGAAACAAUUAAGAAUACCAAAUACAGAAGAAGUGAAAAGGAGAUGGUAAUAGCGCUACUGCUGCUGUUGAUGGCUCUGGGAGGAACUGCCAUUGGGAUUGGAGGUGUCCCUUGAGAAGACGGAAGCCCUGUAAUCUUUGUAGCAGGGCAGACGACGGGACGCCUCCAGCGGAGUACCGUGUGAAACUGGGGUAGGUUGAGCCUGAGACUACGAAGCUAAAUGAAAUAUCUGGGACUCAUCCUCGAUAGCCACUGUGGGCAUUCGGUGCCUACUUCGAGGGUCUGGUACCGUCCGUCGAGGACACGGCAAACGUCUUAGGACGUUUACUGCCUCGGAUUGGCGAGCCAGGAGGUAGGGGGACGCCGGUUGUACACGGGGUGGUACGGUCGAAGUUCCUUUAUGGAGCUCCGAUCUGAACGGUGGAUUUGAAGGCCAACCGUCGCAUCCUCCUGGACUGCAGAAAAAAUUGCAUGUAACUAUGGCAAUUAAGGUAGUGAGAGGAUUUCGCAACAUAGCAGCGACGGCAGUGAAACAUCAACCACAUCCUUGCUGCGUACUCUCAAUAUACUUAAGGACCCACCANUUAAUCUUGGCAUUUUCAUGGUUAAAGUCCUUCAGACCAAAAACAAGCAUCUUUCAUUUCGAGUGUUUUUUUCGAGUGUGUCUACUACGGACAGCUACGGGAAAGUUAGUUUUCUCACGUUCGGUAUCUUCCGUUAGCAACUUUCUCUCGAGGGCGGUUAGCACACUUCCUCACCCACCAUCCUACAAAAUUAACCAAUUGACAGCGAAAUCUAUUUCCCUCACUCUCCUAAGGAAGAUUUGUCUUUAACAAAAUAGCUUUUCUUGUGUCUUUCGACGCAUAUGGUCCGUUCACUUUAUUAAUUUUUCAUCUUUCGAACAGUUAACAUCCCCUUACCGGGUUUCUACCCUCAGAUCAGUCGCCUCCUUAAUAAAGUUGAUGGAGUAAAGUGUAAUUUACACGUGUUAAUUCAAUCCGUGCUCAAUUGUGACUAUUAAGAGUACAAGAAGGCGUAAUGUAGAAAAAGUUAAUAAUUGUGUUUCGGCUCAACCUUCUUGUUUCUAUAUAAUCUGAGUUAUGACCUUUGAUUUUAGGUAACAGCACUGGCGGUGCUGGCGGGGUUUCCCCCGUUUGAGCUGCCCUGUGGUGUCGUGAGUCUGCUGGGUGCGGCUGACCGUGCAGGUACCAACGUUCGGUCCAGGCGCGAAAGAACCUGCCAGAAAGUUGGUGGGUAAGCCUUGAUAAGACAGCGGCCUCGCACGGACUUAGGGUCGUCGAGGCCAUCCUGCCAAGCUGGGCGUUUAGUGUUGUACUUCGUGCCAUCGAAGAGAGGGGAUUGUCAUUAAUGCUUGACGGGGGGGGGGGGAGAGAGGCUCAUGAGUAUGUUUUCGCGAUUCCAGGCCGCUCCUGACGCGCUUCGGAGGGUCAUCGUGGAGAUUUUAGCCGGUAUGAAUCCAGCACUACCCUGUGCCCUCAUUCCCGAGGGCGCGGUGUGGCUAUGAAGGUAGCCUUCACGCAAAAAAGACGAAUCGAGAAGAGUGUUCCGACGAGUGGUAUAACGAAAGUUGAAACGAGCGUUGUAGCAAGAGAUCGAGAAGGAUGUUGAAAAUAGUGUAGGAAGUGUUGUACGUACUGUUGAAAACAGAAACUAAGGAGAGAAGAAACAGUCUCGACCUUACGGACGUCAAAAGGGGAUACUUCCAACCGGCGAACGUUUCUAGUGGCGAUGGUGUCUGCCCUGUUACCCGACGACAAGGAAGAAACGGACACGCCGGAACAGACUGUGAUCAGGCGUAACGUGAUAGCCCCUCCGAAUCUCGAAAAGACCCCAGAGUUUCGCUUUGAAGAAAUCCGGAAAAAUUCCGGCCAUAUGGAAGAUGGCGAGGGUGGUUUACUAGCGAAACCGGGAAAGGACGCGUUACUUCCGUCAUCCUACAGACCCAUUAGUAUCUUACAAGCAUUGAGCAAGAUCUGGAAAUAUACCUUUAAGAUGCUCAUCGAAAAAAACGGGGCGGGGGUUCCUGAAGGCCUCUUCUAUAUGAAAAACUUUGGAUGCAGAGAAAAUAGAAGCAUGAUUAAGACGUCUUUGGUAGAGUUUGCGGGAUGGCGGAUUCAUGUAGGAAGCGGAGGUUGGUGCGCGUUCUUGUCGCCUUGGACGUUGAAACGCCUUCAACAUUUUAAGAUGAAAGAAGAUUAUAUAAGUAAUCGACGCAUUUUAUUACAUGACUAUCUUUCGGACAGAAGAAUUUUAGCUUAUUGCAGAGACGGCAUAGUCAGAAAAAAUGUACACACAGGUGUCUCACAGGAAUCGAUCGUGGGUCUACUCCUGCGGAAUAACGUUUACGAGGGCCUGGACCUUGUAAAGGACUUGGACGCCGUAGCUUUCGUGACUUGGCCCUAGUUAUCACGAUGAGGAAGCUCCAAGACAUCGGCGAUAGGGUUCGGGAAGCCACAGAAUGGUGUGCGGACAUGGACCUUCAUCUGGCACCAGAUAAGACUGAAAUUGUACUGACGGGGAAGCGCGUCAGGGAAACCAAAAUAUUGAAAUUGAAAAAACGGAAAAACAAAGCAAAAGUAUAGUGAAAUAUUUGGGUGCUUCAUUGGACAACGCUAGGACGCAUUCUCCUCAUUUGGAUCAGAUGUGUGGCAAGACAGAGGCGUUCCUUAGCGCCAUUAGAAACCUGUUGCCGAACGUAAACGGACCCACCGGCUCCAUUAGGAAUAUGGUCAUCUGCGCUGAGCUAUCAAGAAAAUAGCUACGAUAAAGUGUCACACGCGCCCCUAUGCGUCGUGACGCGCAGUAUGCCCAUACGUAUUAAGGCCAGACAGCGGGAGAAAAAAUGACCAUUUAGAAAGAGUUUUACCGCACUCAGGAGACAAGAUACACAGGAUAAACAAGAAGAAUCCCUGAUCGAGGUCGGUCGGGUCAACUUUAAUCAAGCGGCGGGGAAUCGGUGGAGGAUUGAAUGUGCCUUUUAUAAAAUUUCAUCCAAAUUUACUUUUGUCAAAUUUGCAAGUUCUAUUAUUGCAUUAUCUGCUGUUGAUAAAUGAUAAAUAUGUAUGUGCACACAGUUCGUAUAUUGUUCGAACAACUUCUCACCCCAUAUUUAAGGGAUUAAUGUAUGUUCUAAAAAUUAAUACAAAGCAUUCAUAAUGCAUGCGAAUUACUAAGUAAUUCGUAAUAAUGUAAUAAAGUAAGAAUUAUAAAUGAACGCGAAGUCGGUAUCUAUAGAAAAUUCAAUGUAUUCAUUUUGGAAUAUAUUAAAUUUUCUGUACGUGCCACUCGUGCGUUUAUAAGAAAGACCAACACAUUGAACUGGAAGUAACAUAAAUCUACAAUCAGUAUAUUUGUACGCUAUGUCGAUGCGAAGAGGUAAUCUCUUAGUGGCAAUGCAUUUUCGUAAUAAUAUUAUGGCGGAUAGCCCGUUGCUACUUAGCCUUACAAUAAUUUAUCACUGGACGUGCGUGUAUGAAUGUUUGGAAAGUCGAUAUCAGAUUCGAAGUGGCCGAGCUGAAGAUACCGACAAUGCAACUGUUUAAGGAUACGUGAGAUAUUGCAUUGUUCGGAAAGUAAUUUCGUUUCUUCCGUCUGGAUGUCGCUAGUCGUAUCUUUAAACAAGCAACUUUGUUCUAACCUAUAGAAUCAUUACACGUUUUCACAAGUAAUACAUAAACUUCAUUUAAAAACAGAAUUGAUUUUAUAUCUGUCAAGUCGUUUUUGUUUGUUUUGUCAUAUUAAAAAUGAAAAACCAAAGUGGGCAUUUUCAUCGUUUGCUCUUCAUUACCGUAAAGACGUAAAUGCAGUGCCAAUAAGAAAAAGCAGAAAUUAAAAGGUAAUUUCGUCCUUAAAAAUGUGCCACGUUCUAAAAGGCUGGUAAAAAUCGAAUAAAUUGUUAUAACAUUGUGUGCACUACUCUUAAAUCAUUAGGUUUUAUCGUUCAUUUUUCUACUAAUUUUAAAUACACUGCUGCUAUUGAGUCAUUAUAUUUUUAGCUAGUUCCUUUAAUUAUGACAUAUAGUAAUACAGUCGAUUAGAGUAUGCUUCCCAUUUGUUAAUGAUUUUCUCAAUUGUUAAAACACAACCUGAUGAUUGAUGUAGUGCAGCAUAAAUUCCUUAGAAAAAUAGCUUUUCGCUUAAACAACUUUAUGCUGCCUAUGCAACUAUAAACAAUUGUUAAAUAUGCUUAAUUUGAUCUCAUUGCCUGAGCACAGGAUUGUCAACGAUCUUCCUUUUUUAUUUCAAACUAUAAAUAGCAAAAUCUCAUCUUCUGCAAUUAUUAUAACUAAUUUAUUUGCAUUUUCGUUCAAAAACAUUUAGAAAAAGUCACAUAUUUUAUUCUGCUGCCGGAAAAUCUAAAUAUAGUUCAAAUGAUCCAAUUAAUCGAAUAUUGAAACUAGCCAAUACAUUUACGAAUAAGAUCGAUUUAUUCUGUAAUUUUAUUUAUUUUGUGACAAGACAUCUUUAUAUAGAGCUUUAUGUGCUGUUUCAAUCAAUUAUAGAACUUUUGUAAUUGCAUUAAAUUUAGCUUUUGCAUUGUAUAUUAUGUAGCUAUUACUGCUUCUCGUUUCUUUUUUCUUUUUAUCGCUCCUAUCUUUGUUUACUUGAAUACCAACCGAGAAUAAGCGUCUAUCCAUUUUGGUCAAAACUGAGUUACCGACAUAGUACGGUUCUACAGUUGCAGUUUGUUCAAGUACAUUCUACAGUUCGAUAAUUUGACAAAAUAUGAUGAAAACGCAUGUAGAAAAGAAAGUGAAGAGAGUUUAACAAGAGUACUUAAUCAAUUUGUAAAAAGCCUCUAUGAGGCGUUUACAUUGCUUGGAAAGAAAAUAUGCGAAAUAAUUUAUCUCAUUUGACAUAUGCGAAAUAAUUUAACUCACUGAACAUAGAUCGCGUGCGUGCAUCAAAUAUGAUGCAUAUGCAUGUGAUCAUACAUGUACAGCGCGCAGAACAGUGAACGUGUUAAUACAUUGAAAGCAGAAAAUACCUCCAAAAAGCGCAAAUUUAAUUAGCGGACCUAUUACAAUUCUGCGAUUACAAUCCGAAAUCUCACUGAUAUAAUACUUUAUCAAUGACUAACAUGAUGAGUCAACGUAUAAUUGGGACACAUAUGAAGUGACUCAUCUGAUGGAGCCGCGGACUCGAUUGGGUUGAUAACCUAGAAAUGUCCCGUGCAGAACAGGGUAAUUAAGUUGCGAAAAAAUGUCACGCGAAACCGCAUUAUACGAAAUGAAAAAUUAAUGCAAAAACGGUGCUUAAAUUAUGGCAGUUAAGGAAAGCACAUGUGCUAUUUUUUCGUAACUAAUAGAAAUAUGUUGAUUAAAAUAAUCGAUAAUUAAUUUUAAGUAUUCGAUAUUAACAUUAUUCGCGUUACAAAAAUGUCACCAACUUUUUAUCUGAAAAGUUGCUACUACUUUAUAGCGAAAAAAUGAUCGAGAGCAAAGGGUCGAUGCCCGAAGAUUUAAAAAUGGAUAAAAAAUUUCGACGUUCAAAAAUUCUACACGGAAAUCUGAAACGACACAUCACGCUAUCGACGCUAAGUCGAUAUCGAAUGACAGGGCUCGGACAUAAAAAUUCCUGCUACGUUGCUUGUUGUAUGGAUUUCUCCAAUUUCACCAAUUCUCGAAUCGCGGUACAGCGAAAUCGUGUUUUAGUAAUAUCGUUGUACGGGACUUCCCCGAUUCUCACGCUGUUUUAGAACGAACCCGUGUCAUAUAUAUAUCGUGUACAUAUAAUCCUUUGAAAAACAAAUCUUCCAAAGAAGAAGUGGCAGAAGGUAUACUUCUUUCAAAUUGUAGAAAAUACAGAAGCGUGAAACUAACGAUAUCGUAAGGUUGAAAAAGGUGUGCCGAUUCAAAUGGCACACGUUUUGUACGAUUAACAUUAAGAGUAAAUUAAGAUUAUGAGUAAACGCGUUUUCACCUCGUCCAAGGAAAAUACACAUCAUUAAAUAUUGCAACUGAAUACUAUUAACUGAGGAAAAUACCAAUGGUCCAAAUUUGCUUUUUUGCAAUGCUAAUCAGUCUAUAGUUGUUAAGAUGAUAUAGAUAUGCCUCCCUAAGUUAUGUUAGUUUUUGUAAAAAAAAAAAAAAAUAAGAAAGUAAGAUAUAUCUAAAAAAAUGUAAUCGUAUUGCAAUCAAUUUAUGUGAGAAAUAAUUAACUUUCGUAUUGUUAAAGGAUGUUAAAUGAAAUAUGUAAGAAAAGAGAAUUGUUGUUAAAGGUACACAUAGAGAAUAUCGUUCUAAACGUAAAAAUAGUAAAAG